AUAGUUGGCAUGUGUGACCAUGU
Molecule: non-coding RNA, 23 nt
Filed under: Arabidopsis thaliana (thale cress)
Lineage: Eukaryota; Viridiplantae; Streptophyta; Magnoliopsida; Brassicales; Brassicaceae
Source: RNAcentral